UUUCCGUAGGUGAACCUGCGGAAGGAUCAUUAUUGUAUAACCGAGGUGCGAGGGCUGUCGCUGACCCGUAAGGCCGAGCAGGCCCGAGGGCCGUCACACACAUCCAUCUCACCCCUCUGUGCACCACCGCCUGGGUCCCCGGUUGGCUUGGUCGAAGCGGGGCUUACAGUUUCGCACACUCUUUGUUUGCAGAGUAGUAUGUAUUUUUAAUUUUUGCAAUCACACUAUCUAUAUAACUUCAAACAACGGAACCCUUGGCCCUCGCAUCGAUGCAGAACC
This 279-nucleotide unclassified non-coding RNA is filed under the name plant metagenome. Its description in RNAcentral is "partial contains small subunit ribosomal RNA, internal transcribed spacer 1, and 5.8S ribosomal RNA". The record is from RNAcentral.